CCACACCAGGGAAAUAUAACAAAGUAGUAUCUUUAUCUAUUUUAUACAUACAAUAACUUUACAAAUCUAUUUCAUACAUUCUCUAAUAUUGCAACAUGGACUUCACAUUAUAUAAACUAAAAAGAAAAACUAUAACAACAAAUUAGAAUGCAUACAUCACACAUUGGAGAACUCGAACUUUGUAUAUAAGUGUACUUUAUCUUUGAAUAAGGAGGGCGGUUCCAACCAACCCCAACCAUAUUGUAAAGCCAACCCAAAAUGCUCGACUUUUCCCUAACCCAACGGGAGGUUUCCAUACAAGAA
RNAcentral lists this long non-coding RNA (303 nucleotides) under Phaseolus vulgaris (common bean). RNAcentral's name for it is "long non-coding RNA (PVUL_LNC003852)". The record is from RNAcentral. Lineage: Eukaryota; Viridiplantae; Streptophyta; Magnoliopsida; Fabales; Fabaceae.